Small nucleolar RNA from Saccharomycodes ludwigii, 120 nucleotides. NCBI's taxonomy places the organism in Eukaryota, Fungi, Ascomycota, Saccharomycetes, Saccharomycodales, Saccharomycodaceae. The record is from RefSeq and is a predicted model, not a curated record.
UAUUAUUUAUGAUGAUUUGAAUUCCUGUGCAUAGUUCAACUGACACAAUGUUUAUUCAUUAUAAUGAAGAUAUUAAUUCAUCCAUCGAAUUUAGUCUUUCGCUCCUAUCUGAAAAUGUAA